RNAcentral lists this ribosomal RNA (497 nucleotides) under uncultured bacterium. RNAcentral describes it as "partial 16S ribosomal RNA". It matches the Rfam family "Bacterial small subunit ribosomal RNA", at positions 28 to 507 of the family's 1533-position model. The record is from RNAcentral.
GAUGAACGCUGGCGGCGUGCCUAAUACAUGCAAGUCGAGCGAACAGAUGAGGAGCUUGCUCCUCUGACGUUAGCGGCGGACGGGUGAGUAACACGUGGAUAACCUACCUAUAAGACUGGGAUAACUUCGGGAAACCGGAGCUAAUACCGGAUAAUAUAUUGAACCGCGUGGUUCAAUAGUGAAAGACGGUUUUGCUGUCACUUAUAGAUGGAUCCGCGCCGCAUUAGCUAGUUGGUAAGGUAACGGCUUACCAAGGCAACGAUGCGUAGCCGACCUGAGAGGGUGAUCGGCCACACUGGAACUGAGACACGGUCCAGACUCCUACGGGAGGCAGCAGUAGGGAAUCUUCCGCAAUGGGCGAAAGCCUGACGGAGCAACGCCGCGUGAGUGAUGAAGGUCUUCGGAUCGUAAAACCCUGUUAUUAGGGAAGAACAAAUGUGUAAGUAACUAUGCACGUCUUGACGGUACCUAAUCAGAAAGCCACGGCUAACUACGUG